GGGCCCGUGGUCUAGCGGCUAGGACGCCCGCCUCACGCGCGGGAGGUCCCGGGUUCAAAUCCCGGCGGGCCCACCA
Molecule: transfer RNA, 76 nt
Filed under: Thermoprotei archaeon
Lineage: Archaea; Thermoproteati; Thermoproteota; Thermoprotei
Description: tRNA-Val
Rfam family: tRNA
About the family: Transfer RNA (tRNA) molecules are approximately 80 nucleotides in length. Their secondary structure includes four short double-helical elements and three loops (D, anti-codon, and T loops).
Source: RNAcentral